GCUAAAACUCAACAGGUGUGCAGAGGGAAACAACCAGACAAGACUACAGGACAACAUGAAGGACAAAAGAGCAUGAAAACCAAAAUGCCGAAACACAAAUAGUCCAUCAGUAGUGUCCAGAUGCUGGACAUGUCAUGGACGCCCUGGUGCUGCACUACUAGAAUGUUCUGACUCAGCCUGAGCAACAUAGAUACAGGGCCAAAGAGUGAAGGCUGUAAAGCCUGGGAAAAGGUUUGACAGAUAAUCACCGAUCCACUGAUCACAUUGUGGACACGUCCUAUCUUCCAAAAAUGUCUGUCUUAGGCUGCAUCUCCGCUGAGACAAACCACUUGAGGAGAGCAACCAUGUGCAAAGAAGGAGUCUGUGGAGCCUUUGAGGGGGAGCUUGAGUUUCUCCAAGUGGAGGCACAACAUGGAUCAUCACUCAACUCCACUUCAAGUUACUAUUAGUCUUGGAGGCAGAACCAUGACCCAUGGACGUCACUUGCUGUAGAUGCUGGAGAUUAAAUCCAUCACUUUUUAAGGUUAACAGUCUCCAGAAAGUGUUCGAAACUUAGGUGCCAUGAUGACUUUGCUGGGAUGGGCCCUGCCUUUGGAGUCUUAAAUGUCCAAAUACAUGCAAUCUUUCCCUGUCAGAUGCAGAGAACUCUGAUUAAC
Myripristis murdjan (pinecone soldierfish) is the source of this 656-nucleotide long non-coding RNA. RefSeq lists it as uncharacterized. NCBI's taxonomy places the organism in Eukaryota, Metazoa, Chordata, Actinopteri, Holocentriformes, Holocentridae. The transcript has 4 exons. The record is from RefSeq and is a predicted model, not a curated record.